UUAUUUCUCCAAAUCCUACUCAUUCCUCAAAGCCUUCCUUUUAUUACAACGUUGCUUCAAUAAAAAACAAAGCCUCUCUUUGUGAGGACUCAGUGGGCGUCCUUCGUGAAGACUUCGUGGGUGCAGUGACUUCCCCGCGCGCCCAGAUGAAUUUUGACUCCAGCCCUGACCUCUCCCAUGGGCUUCAGACACAUGCAUCCAUCUACCUUUUUGAUGACUCUAAAGACCUCAAAUGUAACUUGACCUAGUAUAUGUAUAACUUGCCUAGUGUAUACUAAACAAUCAAUAUAUACUGGCUAUAAUUAUCCCAGCACUAGACUGAGCUCCACCAUGCAGCCCUGACAAUGCCUAGCAUUGAGUAAGUGAGUAAAUAGCUAAAAUAAAAGUACUUUUAUUACCGUGAACACUUUUAAAUACACUUUUUAUUUUAGGUAAGUUUUAGAUUUGCAGAAAGGUGCUAAGAUAAAAGAGAGUCCACAUGUAUGCCUCCCAAGUUCCCUCAUGGUCAUUUUGCAAAUGAAUAAACCUUGUUAAUCACCCAGCAA
Non-coding RNA from Miniopterus natalensis, 545 nucleotides. NCBI's taxonomy places the organism in Eukaryota, Metazoa, Chordata, Mammalia, Chiroptera, Miniopteridae. The record is from RefSeq and is a predicted model, not a curated record.